UACGUAGGGUGCAAGCGUUAAUCGGAAUUACUGGGCGUAAAGCGCACGUAGGCGGCUUUGUAAGUUAGAGGUGAAAGCCCGGGGCUCAACUCCGGAACUGCCUUUAAGACUGCAUCGCUUGAAUCAUGGAGAGGUUAGUGGAAUUCCGAGUGUAGAGGUGAAAUUCGUAGAUAUUCGGAAGAACACCAGUGGCGAAGGCGACUAACUGGACAUGUAUUGACGCUGAGGUGCGAAAGCGUGGGGAGCAAACAGG
RNAcentral lists this ribosomal RNA (253 nucleotides) under uncultured bacterium. Its description in RNAcentral is "partial 16S ribosomal RNA". It matches the Rfam family "Bacterial small subunit ribosomal RNA", at positions 524 to 776 of the family's 1533-position model. The record is from RNAcentral.